CAGUCGCCGCGGUAAUACGGAGGGUGCAAGCGUUAAUCGGAAUUACUGGGCGUAAAGCGCACGCAGGCGGUCUGUCAAGUCAGAUGUGAAAUCCCCGGGCUUAACCUGGGAACUGCAUUUGAAACUGGCAGGCUAGAGUCUUGUAGAGGGGGGUAGAAUUCCAGGUGUAGCGGUGAAAUGCGUAGAGAUCUGGAGGAAUACCGGUGGCGAAGGCGGCCCCCUGGACAAAGACUGACGCUCAGGUGCGAAAGCGUGGGGAGCAAACAGGAUUAGAUACCCCUGUAGUCCCUGUCUCUUAUAC
Molecule: ribosomal RNA, 301 nt
Filed under: uncultured bacterium
Lineage: Bacteria
Description: partial 16S ribosomal RNA
Rfam family: Bacterial small subunit ribosomal RNA
Source: RNAcentral